Molecule: ribosomal RNA, 1975 nt
Filed under: human gut metagenome
Description: bacterial LSU rRNA
Rfam family: Bacterial large subunit ribosomal RNA
Source: RNAcentral
UCAAGCGAACAAGAGCGCAAGGGGAAUGCCUUGGCAUCAGGAGCCGAUGAAGGACGUGAUAAGCUGCGAAAAGCUUCGGGGAGCUGCAAAUAAGCAUUGAUCCGGAGAUGUCCGAAUGGGGAAACCCACCUGAGCAAACCUCAGGUAACGCAUGGUGAAUCAAAUAGCCAUGCGUGGGGAACCGCCUGAACUGAAACAUCUAAGUAGGGCGAGGAAAAGUAAUCAACCGAGAUUCCGAAAGUAGUGGCGAGCGAAAUCGGAAGAGGCCAAACCGUACGUAGCAAUAUGUGCGGGGUUGUGGACGGCAAUGUCGGUAAGCUUCGUUAGACGAAUGGUCUGGGAAGGCCAGUCAAAGAGUGUGAGAGCCACGUAGUCGAAAAUGAAGUGAACGUAGCCGGAUCCAGAGUACCGCGGGGCACGAGGAAUCCCGUGGGAAGCCGGGGGGACCACCCUCCAAGCCUAAAUACUACCUGAUGACCGAUAGAGGAGCAGUACCGUGAGGGAAAGGUGAAAAGCACCCCGGGAGGGGAGUGAAACAGUACCUGAAACCUUGUGCUUACAAGCAGACAUAGCCCGUUAAAGGGUGGUGUCGUACUUUUUGUAGAACGGUCCGGCGAGUUAUAGUAACUGGCGAGCUUAAGGUAUUCAGUACCGGAGGCGAAGGGAAACCGAGUGUGAAGAGCGCGUGAAGUCAGUUGCCAUAGACCCGAAACCAGGUGACCUAGCCAUGUCCAGGAUGAAGUGGAGGUAAAGCUCCAUGGAGGUCCGAACCCACGUACGUUGCAAUGUCCGGGGAUGAGGUGUGGCUAGCGGUGAAAUUCCAAACGAACUUGGAGAUAGCUGGUUCUCCCCGAAAUAGCUUUAGGGCUAGCGUAGGUAAUGAGUUUCACGGAGGUAAAGCACUGUCUGAGCUAGGGGGCGAUAAGCUUACUGAACUCUAACAAACUAAGAAUGCCGUAGAAAUGCUUACCUGCAGUCAGACUGCGAGUAAUAAAAUCCGUGGUCAAAAGGGAAACAGCCCAGACCCACAGCUAAGGUCCCAAAUAUACGCUAAGUGGAAAACGAUGUGAGAUUGCAUAAACAACCAGGAUGUUGGCUUAGAGGCAGCCACUCGUUCAAAGAGUGCGUAAUAGCUCACUGGUCGAGUGAUCUUGCGCGGAAAAUUUAACGGGGCUAAGCGUAUAACCGAAGCUUGGGAAUGUCGAAAGACAUUGGUAGGGGAGCGUCGUGUAUGGGGUGAAGUCGCAUCGGAAGGAGCGGUGGACUGUACACGAGUGAGAAUGCCGGAAUGAGUAGCGAGAAUUAUGUGGGAAUCAUAAUGGCCGAAAAUCUAAGGUUUCCUGGGGAAGGUUCGUCCGCCCAGGGUAAGCCGGGAGCUAAGGCGAGGCCGCGAGGCGUAGUCGAUGCACAUACGGUAGAAAUUCCGUAGCCACCUCACACUAGAAAGCUGACACAUGGAGAUAGUCGAACCCGGCCGUUGGUCGCGCCGGGCGAAAGGGACCGAACUUAUAGUAGGGAAGUCGAUGAUGCUCUGUGGCGAGAAAAGGCGAAGUGAGGUGCCCGUACCGCAAACCGACACAGGUAGAUGAGGAGAGAAUCCUAAGGCCAACGGGAGAAGGGUUGUUAAGGAACUCGGCAAGUUGACCCCGUAACUUCGGAAUAAGGGGAGCCUCGAAAGAGGCCGCAGUGAAAAGGCCCAAGCAACUGUUUACCAAAAACACAGGUCUAUGCUAAAUCGAAAGAUGACGUAUAUGGGCUGACGCCUGCCCGGUGCCGGAAGGUUAAGAGGAGAUGUCAGCGCAAGCGAAGCAUUGAAUUGAAGCCCCGGUAAACGGCGGCCGUAACUAUAACGGUCCUAAGGUAGCGAAAUUCCUUGUCAGGUAAGUUCUGACCCGCACGAAAGGCGUAAUGAUUUGGGCACUGUCUCAACAGCCCGCCCGGCGAAAUUGUAGUACCGGUGAAGAUGCCGGUUACC